UGCCACUUGGACUUGUGUUAGAUCAGUUUUUGAAUUUCUGUCUUUCUCUUCAUUCAGACACAGAGUGAGACAGGGGGAGGAUAUCAAACUCAUAUAAGUUCAUGGUCAUGAAGACCAAUGCUGAUCUCAGAUCCCGUGGACCCGUCCCUGUUUUCCCGGUGAAGAUCCUUAGUUGUGGAUGACUGGAGAGUGGCUGGUAGAGAGCAGUGAGUGGGCGAAGAAGCGCAAGUGUUUUCCCUUGUCCUCCCCACCUUGGAUUCCCUGGAGCCCGGACCCCUGUCACACUUGUAUAUAGCAAAAUUCCCUGCACUGUCUGUAAAUACACCUGUGAAUGUGAAAUAAACCUCACUGUGUCUUCUG
Long non-coding RNA from Oreochromis aureus, 360 nucleotides. RefSeq lists it as uncharacterized. The transcript has 2 exons. The record is from RefSeq and is a predicted model, not a curated record. NCBI's taxonomy places the organism in Eukaryota, Metazoa, Chordata, Actinopteri, Cichliformes, Cichlidae.